This 456-nucleotide non-coding RNA is filed under the name Chloroflexota bacterium. The record is from RNAcentral. Lineage: Bacteria; Bacillati; Chloroflexota.
GGCAAGCAGGUGUUCCGUCGCUCGCUGUGAGUAACAUCGCAGUGAGAGGAACUUCCCGACUCUCGGUGUCGUCUUACGACGGCACAAAGUUGCCUGACGAAACAGCAAGUCAGGGCGGACCUCACCCCGACCCACUCCUACGAGGAGAGGGUCGGGGUAAGGACUGACGACAACUGCAACAGAAAGUAUUCCCGCCUGUAGGGGCGAACCCUUGUGGUCGCCCUUAUGGGUCAGGGGCGAAACGGUGGGGUAAUAGCCUACCAGCGUCGGCAGCAAUGCCGGCGGCUAGGUGAAUGUCCAACUGGGAGCAAGGCAGGUGGGCUGUUGCAGCAAUGCAAUGGUCCUGUCGCAGCGGUGCUGUCGCAAUCGUUAGAUCGCUGCAAGUACCGCCGGUGCGCAAGUAUCGAGACAGAUGACGGAAAUCAACAGAAUCGGGGGUACGACCACUUGCCAUGU